UACGUAGGAGACGAGCGUUGUCCGGAGUUACUGGGCGUAAAGGGUGCGCAGGUGGCGGCGCGCGUGGGGGGUGAAAUCGCCCGGCUUAACUGGGCGGGGGCCUUCCAGACGGCGUGGCUUGAGCAGCGGAGGGGGACGUGGAAUUCCGGGUGGAGCGGUGAAAUGCGUAGAGAUCCGGAGGAACACCGGUGGCGAAGGCGGCAUCCUGGACCGGUAUUGACGCUGAGGCGCGAAAGCCAGGGGAGCAAACGGG
RNAcentral lists this ribosomal RNA (253 nucleotides) under uncultured bacterium. Its description in RNAcentral is "partial 16S ribosomal RNA". It matches the Rfam family "Bacterial small subunit ribosomal RNA", at positions 524 to 776 of the family's 1533-position model. The record is from RNAcentral.